Molecule: unclassified non-coding RNA, 258 nt
Filed under: Hevea brasiliensis (rubber tree)
Lineage: Eukaryota; Viridiplantae; Streptophyta; Magnoliopsida; Malpighiales; Euphorbiaceae
Source: RNAcentral
ACAAUAGCUCAGAAAUGUUGGAUGAUGAUCUAAAUUACAAGAGAUGUGAAUCCUCAUGGAAGCAAUGUAUGGUUGGUGGCUUUGCGCUAUUGGGAGUAAGAUCUUACCAUUCAAGAUGGUCAGAGUGCCUAGCGUUGCAAACUUGCAGCAAUGUCAUUUUGAGAUAUCAACUGUGCACCUCAUACCAGAUGAAUGGGGGAUUCAGCGAACCAUUCUAAUCGGCUAUCAUUAGGCCUCUGAAUUUCUGCGCAUUUUUUU